RNAcentral lists this long non-coding RNA (602 nucleotides) under Pan troglodytes (chimpanzee). RNAcentral describes it as "long non-coding RNA NONPTRT007316". Lineage: Eukaryota; Metazoa; Chordata; Mammalia; Primates; Hominidae. The record is from RNAcentral.
GAUGGUUCUCUCUCUUCUGUAAGAUCCAUAUAACUUUAUUCUCUGACCUGUAAAAAAAGUCAUUAUCCAUCUGCUAUCAUUUGGAUAUUUGACCCUGUGAAUCUCAUGUUGAAACUUGAUUCCCAGUGUUGGAGGUGGGGCCCAGUGGGAGGUGUUUGGGUCAUAGGGAUGUAUCCCUCAUGAAUUGCUUGGUGCUGUCCUUGCAAUUAUGAGUGAGUGCUCACUCUGUUAGUUCCCAGGGGAACUGGUAGUUAAAAAGAGCCUGGCAUCUUCUCCCUCUCUCUGCCUCUCUCACCAUGUGAUCUUUGCACAUGCUGGCUCCACUUCACCUCUGCCAAGUAGAAGCAGUGUGAGGCCUCACUGGAUGCAGAUAUUGGCACCACGCUUCUUGUACAACCUGUGGUUUCAGAAUCCCAACUGAAAAAGUCAGCCUAAAAGUGUCCUGUGAAACACCUGGGAAGAUAGGACGUCAGGCAAGCAACAACUUCAAUGCAAAAUGUGUCUUGUUCCAAAAGUGACAGGAGGACCACUGCCACAGAAACCACCCUAAAGUCAGAAGCAGCGGUUGUGUUCCACCAUGAUUACUUUCUCCUUCAGCGAAU